CCCUUAGGUGUUCUGGGCCGCACGCGCGCUACACUGAUGCAUUCAACGAGCCUAGCCUUGACCGAGAGGUCCGGGUAAUCUUUGAAACUGCAUCGUGAUGGGGCUAGAUUAUUGCAAUUAUUAAUCUUCAACGAGGAAUGCCUAGUAAGCGUGAUUCAUCAAAUCGCGUUGAUUACGUCCCUGCCCUUUGUACACACCGCCCGUCGCUCCUACCGAUUGAGUGUGUUGGUGAGGAGUUUGGAUUGGCCUCGGAAGGUGGUUCGCCACCGUCCGUAGCUGAGAAGUUCUCCAAACCGCCCCACUUAGAGGAAGGAGAAGUCGUAACA
This 326-nucleotide ribosomal RNA is filed under the name uncultured eukaryote. RNAcentral's name for it is "partial 18S ribosomal RNA". It matches the Rfam family "Eukaryotic small subunit ribosomal RNA", at positions 1470 to 1796 of the family's 1831-position model. The record is from RNAcentral.